This 386-nucleotide ribosomal RNA is filed under the name uncultured bacterium. RNAcentral's name for it is "bacterial SSU rRNA". It matches the Rfam family "Bacterial small subunit ribosomal RNA", at positions 29 to 417 of the family's 1533-position model. The record is from RNAcentral.
AUUGAACGCUGGCGGCAUGCUUUACACAUGCAAGUCGAACGGCAGCGGGGGCUUCGGCCUGCCGGCGAGUGGCGAACGGGUGAGUAAUGCAUCGGAACGUGCCCAGUCAUGGGGGAUAACUACGCGAAAGCGUAGCUAAUACCGCAUACGCCCUGAGGGGGAAAGUGGGGAUCUUCGGACCUCACGUGAUUGGAGCGGCCGAUGUCAGAUUAGCUAGUUGGUGAGGUAAAGGCUCACCAAGGCGACGAUCUGUAGCGGGUCUGAGAGGAUGAUCCGCCACACUGGGACUGAGACACGGCCCAGACUCCUACGGGAGGCAGCAGUGGGGAAUUUUGGACAAUGGGCGCAAGCCUGAUCCAGCCAUGCCGCGUGAGUGAAGAAGGCCU